CAGCCGCGGUAAUUCCAGCUCUCAGAGUGUAUAUCUGUCUUGCUGUGGUUAAAAAGCUCGUAGUUGGAUCUGUACCUUGAGAAACAGUUCACCUUUGUGUGUAACUGCUUUCCGAGGUGUAAUUCGUGGGUUUACUCACGAGAGUUACCCUGAUUAAAUCAGAGUGCUCAAAACAAGCGUUUCGCUUGAAUGUUUUUGCAUGGAAUAAUGGAAAAGGACUUCGGUUCCUUACUGUUGGUUUCGGAAUUGAAGUAAUGAUUAACAGGGACCAACGGGGGCAUACGUAUCGUUGCGCGAGAGGUGAAAUUCAUGGACCGCAGCGAGACGUUCAAUAGCGAAAGCAUUUGCCAAGAAUGUCUUCACUAAUCAAGAACGAAAGUCAGAGGUUCGAAGGCGAUUAGAUACCGCCGUAGUUCUGACCGUAAACGAUUCCAUCUAGCGAUCCGACGGCGGUUUUUCUGCCUUGUCGGGGAGCUUCCCGGAAACGAAAGU
This 492-nucleotide ribosomal RNA is filed under the name Rhomborhabditis regina. RNAcentral describes it as "SSU rRNA". It matches the Rfam family "Eukaryotic small subunit ribosomal RNA", at positions 571 to 1104 of the family's 1831-position model. Lineage: Eukaryota; Metazoa; Nematoda; Chromadorea; Rhabditida; Rhabditidae. The record is from RNAcentral.